CUUAAGCGAAAUGCAUUAGUAUGUAUAAAGUGCUUAGAAGAGGGCCUGGAACAUAAAUUAUGAAACUGGAAAGGACACUAGAGACCACCUAGUGAUCAGACCCUGAAUCUUAUACAUGUGAAAACUGAAGUUCAGAGAAUUUACGUGAUUUAUCAGUGGUUGCAGAGCUUACUGGUGGUGGAGCUGGCAUUAGAAAUCAGGUCUUCUCACAUCUCAAAAGAUGACAUUUAUGCGGCCCACGAACACAUGAAAAAAAGCUCAUCAUUACUGGUCAUUAGAGAAAUGCAAAUCAAAACCACAAUGAGAUACCAUCUCAUGCCAGUUAGAGUGGUGAUUAUUAAAAAAUGAGGAAACAACAGAUGCUGGAGAGGCUGUGGAGAAACAGGAAUGCUUUUACACUGUUGGAGUGUAAAUUAGUUCAACCAUUGUGGAAGACAGUGUGGCAAUUCCUCAAGGAUCUAGAACCAGAAAUACCAUUUGACCCAGCAAUCCCAUUACUGGGUAUGUAACCAAAAGAUUACAAAUUAUUCUACUAUAAAGACACAUGCACACGUAUGUUUAUUGCAGCGUUAUUUACAAUAGCAAAGACUUACUUGGAACCAACCUAAAUGCCCAUCAAUGAUAGACUGAAUAAAGAAAAUGUGGCACAUAUACACCAUGGAAUACUAUGCAGCCAUAAAAAAGAAUGAAUUCAUGUCCUUUGCAGGGACAUGGAUGAAGCUGGAAACCAUCAUUCUCAGCAGACUAACACAGGAACAGAAAACCAAACACCGUAUGUUCUUACUCAUAAGUGGGAGCUGAACAAUGAGAACAAAUGGCCACAGGGAGGGGAACAUCACACACCGGGACCUGUCGGGAGGUAGGGGUAAGGGGAGGGAGAGCAUUAGGACAAAUA
RNAcentral lists this long non-coding RNA (895 nucleotides) under Homo sapiens (human). Its description in RNAcentral is "HSALNT0313203". Lineage: Eukaryota; Metazoa; Chordata; Mammalia; Primates; Hominidae. The record is from RNAcentral.